Molecule: long non-coding RNA, 1875 nt
Organism: Carassius gibelio (silver crucian carp)
Lineage: Eukaryota; Metazoa; Chordata; Actinopteri; Cypriniformes; Cyprinidae
Exons: 2
Source: RefSeq, a predicted model, not a curated record
UGCAGAUGCCCGACAUCCCGUGUCAUUUUCACUCCUUAGACUCACCAAAUAAGCCCCGAAUCAAGACCAUUAACACAGUUUAUUCAGUUAGGCUCGAUAUGUGUUCAUUUCUACUAGCUAAUAACGUGUGUGUACAUCGUUGUGAGGGAGACCGCGACCCGUAUGUUUUUCACGGGAUGCUAGUCGCGGUGUGCAAAUAUUAGCUGGUGGGCUAUCGCAGUCUAAUUGAGUGCGAGGCCAGAAAAAAGCGAUUAAUUUCGCUUUGGACGGAAUAUUCGCACUCAUUUUUGGUCUACCCCAUGUGUGGGCUCGAAUGCGCGAAAAACAGCCAGGGCUCGACCGCGAUCGCAUCGAUUAUUUUAAUGUGUCGCUCUGUCUGACAAGCGAUAACCCCCCCGCAGCUAACGCGCUAGCCUCCCCUCACGAUACUAGUGCUGAAAGCGAGAGCAAAACAAACUAAAUAAACCAUUCUGAUGUCGUCAAAUAGUCGUGUAGAUAAAUAAUAGCCACAAAAACUGUCUGGAUCGAUAUAUGUAUAGUGUGAAAUGGUUUCUGCUUGGCAGUAAGGUCAGUGCUAAUCGGCUAGCUACCUAGCGACACAAAGAUCGGGAGGCUCGCGAGCUCUGAUUCAAUGAAUGUGGCCAUUGUGUGGAAUUAAACAAACACCUACAAGCUGCAACAACUUACCCGACUUACAGACGUGCACAAUGAUCAGGGAUGAGGCGGGCGGCUCCACCGUCUUUUUCUCGGUGUAUUCAGCACACUUCCUGCUGCGGGCUGAACGGGGAUGAAGCGCUGCGGACGUGCUCCACCGCGUCAUUCUGCGCUCAUUCUCCCGUGUGUUUGCGUUGGAACUAAGCAUUGUGUGAUGCACCGUGGACCUAAUCACAAAACAGAUGUUUGCGUUGAUUGUUUCCAGUAUUUGGGUAGACAAUAGACAGUGUCUGCAACUUUCUGUCCAAACACUGGAAAUACCACAAACCAAAGAGUACGAUGGUACCACCAUGUUUUACUACGGUAUUAUUUUACGUACACUGUAAAACUAGUACUAGGGUCGAGAGGGGCUAGUUGCCACAAGGAAUGUAUUUUAGUACCCAAAAGGUUUCAGCCGAACUUAAAGGGAUAGUUUAUCCCUGAAUGAAAAUUCUGUCAUUAUUUAUUCACUCUUAUGUUGUUCGAAACCUGUAUGGAUUUUUUUCUUCUGCAGAACAUAAAAGAUGAUAUUUUGAAGAAUGUUAGUAAUGCAACAUUCAGUAGCCAUUGACAUCCAUAGUAUUUUUUUCCGUACUAACAUUAUUCUUUUUUUUUUACGUGAACCCAUACAUGUUUCAAAUGACAUGAGGGUGAGUAAAUCAUGACAAAAUGUAAAUUUUCGGGUUAACUAUACCUUUAAGUACACAAAUGCUUGUUUCGUCUAGUCUAGUGGUUUCGUAAGCUGGUUUAAAACAUAAUUAAACGCUGCUGUUUUUGCUAUAGUACAUGAAUGCAAUAAAACCACACCAGCUUACAUUCAGUUUUAAGUGUCACAUGUUUUAAAAGUUAUACAUUAAUAAUUUUUUUUUAUUACAAUAUUUAAUAGCCAAAACCAUUUGGUUUGUUAUUUAUGUACACUGAAUUUGCAGUUUCAUGUACUGUCCUGGUUGCAUACAUUGUUGUGUUAUAUUGCGUAUGCAUUUUUCUGGGACUUUGAUGUCUGUAAAGAACAUGUAAACCUACGAUAAAAUAUUCACUAGAAGAGUCAAAGUUUGGACACACCAACUUAUUCAAUAAUCUUAUUUGAUCUUUUCAACAUUUUAACAACAAAGUCUUUCAAACUGUGAAAAAACACAAAUGGAAGUUAUAUGAAUGGAAAUUAAAUACUGAAUGUUUUACAAA